RNAcentral lists this unclassified non-coding RNA (421 nucleotides) under soil metagenome. Its description in RNAcentral is "partial contains 5.8S ribosomal RNA, internal transcribed spacer 2, and large subunit ribosomal RNA". The stretch from base 1 to 120 matches the Rfam family "5.8S ribosomal RNA", at positions 35 to 154 of the family's 154-position model. The record is from RNAcentral.
GAUGAAGAACGUAGCGAAAUGCGAUACGUAAUGUGAAUUGCAGAAUUCAGUGAAUCAUCGAAUCUUUGAACGCAUAUUGCGCUCUUUGGUAUUCCGAAGAGCAUGCUUGUUUGAGUAUCAGUAAACACCUCAACCUCUUCUUGAUUUUUCAAAAGGAGGGUGGACUUGAGCUAUCCCAACAACCUUUACCGGUCGGCGGGCGGCUUGAAAUGCAGGUGCAGCUGGACUUUUAUCUGAGCUAAAAGCAUAUCUAUUUAGUCCUCGUCAAACAGGAUUAUUACUUUUGCUGCAGCUAACAUAAAGGAUAAUUGUCCUCUUUGCUGACUGAUGCAGGAUUUUACGACACUUUAUGUGUUGUUCAACUCGAUCUCAAAUCAAGUAAGACUACCCGCUGAACUUAAGCAUAUCAAUAAGCGGAAGA